UCUCCGUUGGUGAACCAGCGGAGGGAUCAUUACAGAGUUUUUAACUCCCAAACCCAUGUGAACCUACUAUUUUGUUGCCUCGGCGGGUUCUGCCUCCCAUCUCGGGAGCAGGCUCAAGCCCGCCGGUGGAUUUUCAAACUCUUGUUAUUUUAAUGUUAUCUGAGCGUCUUAUUUUAAUAAGUCAAAACUUUCAACAACGGAUCUCUUGGUUCUGGCAUCGAUGAAGAACGCAGC
RNAcentral lists this unclassified non-coding RNA (234 nucleotides) under uncultured fungus. RNAcentral's name for it is "sequence contains ITS1, 5.8S rRNA gene". The stretch from base 186 to 234 matches the Rfam family "5.8S ribosomal RNA", at positions 1 to 49 of the family's 154-position model. Lineage: Eukaryota; Fungi. The record is from RNAcentral.